This 491-nucleotide ribosomal RNA is filed under the name Escherichia coli. RNAcentral describes it as "bacterial SSU rRNA". It matches the Rfam family "Bacterial small subunit ribosomal RNA", at positions 8 to 488 of the family's 1533-position model. Lineage: Bacteria; Pseudomonadati; Pseudomonadota; Gammaproteobacteria; Enterobacterales; Enterobacteriaceae. The record is from RNAcentral.
AGAGUUUGAUCCUGGCUCAGAUUGAACGCUGGCGGCAGGCCUAACACAUGCAAGUCGAACGGUAACAGGAAGCAGCUUGCUGCUUCGCUGACGAGUGGCGGACGGGUGAGUAAUGUCUGGGAAACUGCCUGAUGGAGGGGGAUAACUACUGGAAACGGUAGCUAAUACCGCAUAACGUCGCAAGACCAAAGAGGGGGACCUUCGGGCCUCUUGCCAUCGGAUGUGCCCAGAUGGGAUUAGCUAGUAGGUGGGGUAACGGCUCACCUAGGCGACGAUCCCUAGCUGGUCUGAGAGGAUGACCAGCCACACUGGAACUGAGACACGGUCCAGACUCCUACGGGAGGCAGCAGUGGGGAAUAUUGCACAAUGGGCGCAAGCCUGAUGCAGCCAUGCCGCGUGUAUGAAGAAGGCCUUCGGGUUGUAAAGUACUUUCAGCGGGGAGGAAGGGAGUAAAGUUAAUACCUUUGCUCAUUGACGUUACCCGCAGAAGA